Molecule: non-coding RNA, 3769 nt
Organism: Monodelphis domestica (gray short-tailed opossum)
Lineage: Eukaryota; Metazoa; Chordata; Mammalia; Didelphimorphia; Didelphidae
Source: RefSeq, a predicted model, not a curated record
GAAGCUAGUCAGACUUAAAAGUGUGCCUAGUGGUCUCUCUGAAGAACCAAUUGAGGAACUUCCAAGGACUUUUGGAUUAUCAAAAGGUUGAGUGAGUGUUUCCCUUCACAGUGGUGGACCUUGUGAAUGUGUAAAAAAUGGAUUUGAACUCUGGACUUCAAUCUCUACAAGCCCUUGCUCCACUUCCCCAAAAUGCUUUGUAAUCUCACUGAAUUCUCAGGUGGGCCAAGAUCGAGAAGGGAUUUAACCUGAUUGCAAAGGCUUUUGUGGCCUUUUGGGACUUCCGUUUUGGAGCAGAGGCAGCUCUUCCAUGAUGUGAGAUUAUCUUGUCUAGGCCUCUCUGGCCUAGGCACGUGUUUCUUAUCCUGUAUUUUCUUUAAUCCUUAAUCUUUAAUAAACCUCAUAAAAAUAUAAUACUCCUUACAGAGAGAAACUAAUUUCUACCUGCCUCAGUCUCACCUAAAUUUUAAUCUUUACAGUUGGUGACCUAAUAGGAGAAAAUACUCUCAAUCUUCUGAUUCUUUUCUGAUCUUAAGUCCAACUUUUAAUAGCUAGUGCCUAGAAUUUUUUUUUUUUUUGAUCCACGCUUCUCUGGCCAAGGUUUUUUUUUACCCUUGCAAAGCUGCUGCUCAUUCCAGCCAUCAGAUAGCUCACAGGCUCGCUCUGGACCUGUUGCCUUUGCCGCCCACCCCACCCGGUUUAGCCGCUUCUGCCUGCCUGCCUGCCUGCUGCCUCCACCAUCCGCUUCGGACAGCCCCUGCUCCAGGAUUCAGACCUGUUAGCAGAUUGCAGCUCACCUGCCCACCCCGGCUGCCCGCUCCGGCUCCCGGCCCUGCUUGCCUGAGUUCCUGUCAUUCCUGGCCUACCCCGGUGCACUUGAUCCUUGUUCAACCCAGAUCCUUGGAGCAGAUCACUCAAAACUCAUUUCUACCAGCUGGUAACUAUUGGCCACGUGGGUGGAUGGUAGCAGGGGAGAGAGAAAAGGGAGGAGAACAAACAGACUUUUUCAAGCAGGAACUUAAAAGCAAUGGUUAUUUUACAAGUAUGCCUUUUACUUGCAUUGAUCCUUUUAUUGACUUCAUCUGCGUUCCUUUUAGCUAACUUUGGGGAAAAAACUCUGCUUCACAGCGAACUGAGAGCCAGGCCUAAAGACAUGUGGUCCUGGGUUAAAAUCUGGCCUCAGAUCCUCCCCAGCUGUGGGGCCUUGGAUGGGUCCCUUGACCCCCAUUGCCUAGCCCUUACCACUCUGCCUUCCUACAAUAGACAUUUAAAUGGAUAAUUAAAAACAAACAAACAAACAAAAAAACCCAAGGAACUUUAAAGACUUGAGGUUAUAAAUUUAGGGCAUUUCAGACUCCAAUGGUUUAUACAAAUCUCUGUAUUUCUAUUGCAUUUUGAUAUUUGCUUGGUUUAAGAUAUAACUUUGUGAUUUUAAGUUCUUAUAUUACUGGAUUCAAUAUUAUUCUGUUAUACUGUUCAUUUAAUGUACUGAGUUUUAAAAUUCUGUUACUUUUCCCCUAUAACCAUAUUGAAAAAAUUCAUAGGUUAAUUAAGCCCAUAUAUGAAAAAAAAGCUUUUUUUCCAUUUUUGCCUUUGUAAAUUGUCACAUAGAGGAUAGAUGGACUUCAUCAGAACUGGUUACAAUUGUAUAACAACCUUUGGAAAAUUUAAUGUGCUAAAUACCUCAAAUGAUUUUAAGGGGUUUUUAAACAUGAUUUUUGGAAUUUUUUUAACAAUCUCUGGUUAUUUUGCCUGCCCCUACCAGGAGGUAAGGCCCAUAGCUGAAGUGAAAUAUAUUUUAUAAACCCCAACCUUCCCACAUGUGAAUGGAAGUUGGGAAGUUAAUCUCAGGGCAGGAGGCAAAAGCCUCCAAAAAGGAGCACCUCUCAUUUAUACUCUUCAGCUCACUAUUUUACUUCCACCAGAAUGAUAUAUAGAUUUCUUGAUGAUGUUCUAAACCUAAGAUGAAUUUUACUUUGUUUAAAAAAAUGUUUAAAUACCAAGGUUAAAAGAUUGCUGUUUGUAAAAAUUGUGACAAAUAUCCAUCAAUUCAUAGAUUUUUUAAAAUGUCAUACAGCAACUUAUGUGAAAUAUGAAAGUGUGUUUGUUUGCUAUUGUAAUUAAUUGGGCUAUUGAGAAUUUUGGGGAUAUUGAUACCUAUAUAUUUGUACUACUGUCCUUUAAAAGUAAAAAAUGUUACCUUGUUCAAUUCAUUUGCCUUCACUCACAGUGGUCAUAGCCAAUUAUUAUGAGGAAAUGGAUCUCAUUUUUGGUGAGAAAGCCUUGCAUUCUAUAUUUUCUUAGCUAACACAGUGUCAAUGAUUAUAAGCUAUAUUUUUGAAUUUUUAAAGCUCUUUUAUUAUUAUAUUUUUCUUGCAUUUGCAAUAUACUAUUUUUUCUUUCUUUUUUAUAUUUAAAGCACAUGUCACCAGUAUUAAGAUUUUCUUUAACUUUUUGACUUUUCAGUACUAUAAGUUUGAAAUAUAUUUGUCAGAGCAUGCCCAAAAAGCUUGUGACAAUAAAAACGAUGACACUAAUUAUUUAAAAAAUUAAGGGACUUUGCUUAAUGAUUCUGUCUGAUUCCAGGACAAGAUAUACACAAUAGAGCCAUUGCACAGAGCCAAAGAAAAGUGAAUCCAGGAUGGAUUGAUGCACUUCUAGGCCAAUACAAAGGUUUUUAACCUAAUGUUAGACUUGGGGUUGCGACACUUGACUUAUGUUAAGAUGUAGGCCUUCCUUGUGUCCACACUCACUCUGAAGAUACAGACGAGUAUCCCCAAAACCUUGGCUCCUAUAAUCUGGUCCCCUUUUCUGCCUCUCAUAGUGUGGUACCUUUCUGUAGUCCUGGCUCCUGACUGGGUAAAUGCAUCAUUGCUUAGAUCAUUUUGAUUGGGCCCUGAUUCAAGGACCUGUUAUAGAUUUAUUUUUCUUUUCACUUGGAAUUUUUACACAUAAGACUUUGCUAGCCUAUAUUUUCAUCCAGUAUUUUCUUUUUAUUUUGAUUUUUCUGAUGUCUUUUUAAUAUCUCUUGCCAAUUGAUUCAUAUACCUCAUACCUCGGCUAUGCAUCCCUAAGUGAUCCUGUAUUUUUCAAUCAUCCACAACACAGGGAAAUGUAAAAAAAAUAUCAUUAUUUAAGUUGCAAAGUUUAAAUUCCUUUUUAGAAGAGUUUUAGAUUAAGAAACAUGAUACUUCUCUGAAUUCAGAAACUGAACUGUUGGAGAAGCCACCAUGAAGAAGCUUCCAGACCACAAGCUGCACAAAAAUGAACUUUGGGUAUAGUUGAUUGAACAUUUAUUUGUAUGUAUACUUUCAUGCCAAAGGGGACUGCCCCCUAAUUGGCUUUCUGUCAAUGCGUCCAGCAAUUAUUGGUUUUGUUCUUUUUUCUCUUAUCCUCACAUUAUUGUAAUCUUUUAAGUUGAUUAUGUUUUUAUGAUCCUUUUGGGGAAAAAUUAAUUUUUUAUAAAAAUGAUCACAUGGAUAAAUGUAAAAAAUGGAUUUGAACUCUGGACUUCAAUCCCCACAAGCCCUUGCUCCACUUCCCCAAAAUGCUUUGUAAUCUCACUGAAUUCUCAGGUGGGCCGAGAUCCAGAAGGGAUUUAACCUGAUUGCAAAGGCUUUUGUGGCCUUUUGGGAUUUCCGUUUUGGAGCAGAGGUGGCUCUUCCAUGAUGUGAGAUUAUCUUGUCUAGGCCUCUCUGGCCUAGGCACGUGUUUCUUAUCCUGUAUUUUCUUUAAUCCUUAAUCUUUAAUAAACCUCAUAAAAAUAUAA